Molecule: long non-coding RNA, 1946 nt
Filed under: Arabidopsis lyrata
Lineage: Eukaryota; Viridiplantae; Streptophyta; Magnoliopsida; Brassicales; Brassicaceae
Description: long non-coding RNA (ALYR_LNC000742)
Source: RNAcentral
UUGUAACACCCGUCUCACCCUCUCUCGGGAACGGUGUGCCACGUGUAACAUCCGUCUCACCCUCUCUCGGGAACGGCAUGUUACCAUAAUUCACUUUACAACAAAUAACUCUUUUUCCAUAAACAUCCAAUUCUUUAUUAAAUACCAAGGCAAAAAUCCGAUAAAACAUACUAAAUCCAAAUAAGUCGAUAACACAACUGUUUAUUAAAAGUCUCGAAUAAAAAGGCGGAAAACGAGAAUCCAUCCCAAAUGACACACCCCGACUCAUCAAGUCAUAACUACUCGUCUGGCUCACCUGAAAUGGGGAAAGAGGGGUGAGCAACAGGGGAGUCGCUCAGUGAGGUAUGGGAUGCUAAUCCGCAUGUCACUGACUCAGCCAAGAAACUAAUCGCAAAAUAAUGGAGUACCAAAUAUGAGCAAACACAGCACCUACAGUGCUCAAUCAACAUACAAUUUUCCUAUUAAGGAAUAGUGGCCAAUCACAUCCUCAACGAGAUCAUUUAUGGGAUAGUGCCCAAUCACACCCUCUAACGAGGUAAUUUCUGGGAUAGUGCCCACGCACACCCUCUAACGAGGUAAUUUCUGGGAUAGUGCCCACGCACACCCUCUAACGAGGUAAUUUCUGGGAUAGUGCCCACGCACACCGCCCCUGGGACGCUUAUCGAUCUUAAGGUGCAGGGCAACAGAUCGAUUAUGUAUUGCCCUCACCCCUACCUCAAACAAUGCGGCACCAUACAGAAGUUCUUUUAUCUGUAUCCGCUAUAUCUCAAUAUAAUAUAUAUAUAUAUAUAUAUAUAUAUAUAUAUAUAUAUAUAUAUAUAUAUAUAUAUAACUAACAACAAACAUUUAAUAGUAUGUGACAAACAAAUGGGUUUAAUCAUCUAUCUUCCUAUGUCCAAUUUAAGCAAUCAAACUAACUAGACUCGAUCAUUGAAACACAUCACAUUCAGUGUUGCACUAUUCGUAAAUUAGAAUUCUCGAACAGAGCACAGCGGUUUGGAAAUAGCCCUCACCUUAGCAAUGCUGAAACUACGACUUCUGGACCUCGAAUGAAUAAACCGACUCCGGAUCUGAAAUCGGAACAAAAACUCGAGUCAAACGGCGUCCGAACGAAUAAAAAACGGUUUUCGGGUCAACGGUCAAAGUCAACAGUCAAAGUCAACGGUCAACGGUCAAACCGGUCCAACCAGUCAAACCGAUCCGGUCAACUUAAACCAAAAAUCAAUUGAUUUAAACCGACCGGUUAACCUAAACCAAGAAUCAAUUGAUUUAAACCAGAUUAAAUCAAUUUAGACCGACCGGUUAACCCAAACGGUCGGCGGCAACAAAUUCCGGCAAACCUUACCGGAAAAGUCACCGGCGGCGACGGCGGUCCGGCGACGAAGCGGCGGUGGAAUCCCGGCGGCGAACGGACGGCUGCCGAUCACGGCGCCUCCGGCGAAUAGCGGCGGUUCCGGUCACCGGCGGCGGCGCGUGAGAUCCACGCUCCGAAGACUCGGCGGCGCGUGGGUGUCACGCGCUUCCUUCUUCCGGCGCGUGGCGGCGCGUGGCUCGUCGGCGGUGGCAGCGCUUGGUGUCUCCGACUUCGUCUCGUCAUCACGAAUCCGGUGGUGCCCUUGGAUUUGCGAGAUUCGAAGCGGUUAGGGAGAAAUCUUGAAAAUACUAAACGGCCCGAAACUAAAACAUUUAAAACUUGGUUUUAGGAGUUACCUUCGACUAAGCUUUCCGUUGGCUUGGUCGGCUCGGUUACGGGAGAAGAUGGACGGUGGUUCGGUGGUACUAACUCCGACGAGAUUUCUACAGAGUAACACUACUCAGGAGAGUGUUGUGGAGAAAAUGAGAAUGGGAGGGGGUUUUUAUAGAGAAAUAGAGGAGGGGGUACCUAGGUUAAGUGGAUGGGCUUCAUGGGCUUCGAAUGGGCCUUGGGCCAAUAUUGGGCUGUUACA